GUUUUGCUACGGUGGGGGAACCCCGACGAGACGCGCCGUACCGGGUGGCCUGGGCCGCAGGACAAGACGACGCACC
Molecule: non-coding RNA, 76 nt
Filed under: Actinomycetota bacterium
Lineage: Bacteria; Bacillati; Actinomycetota
Source: RNAcentral